CCUACGGGAGGCAGCAGUGAGGAAUAUUGGUCAAUGGACGCAAGUCUGAACCAGCCAAGCAGCGUGCAGGAUGACGGCCCUCCGGGUUGUAAACUGCUUUUUGCUGGGAAUAAAAGGGGGCUCGUGAGCCCCGUAUUGUAUGUACCAUCAGAAACAGGACCGGCUAAUUCCGUGCCAGCAGCCGCGGUAUUACGGAAGGUCCGGGCGUUAUCCUGAGUUAUUGGGUUUAAAGGGAGCGUAGGGCGGCUUUUAUGUCAGCUGUGAAAGUCCGCGGCUCAAGCGUGGAAGUGCAGUUGAAACUGGAGGCCUUGAGUGCACACAGGGAUGCCGGAAUUCAUGGUGUAGCGGUGAAAUGCUUAGAUAUCAUGAAGAACACCGAUCGCGAAGGCAAGUGUCGGGGGUGCAACUGACGCUGAGGCUCGAAAGUGCGGGUAUCAAACAGGAUUAGAUACCCUAGUAGUC
Molecule: ribosomal RNA, 462 nt
Filed under: uncultured bacterium
Lineage: Bacteria
Description: partial 16S ribosomal RNA
Rfam family: Bacterial small subunit ribosomal RNA
Source: RNAcentral